UACGGAGGGUGCGAGCGUUGUCCGGAAUCACUGGGCGUAAAGGGCGCGUAGGCGGCGUGACAAGUCACUUGUGAAAUCUCCGGGCUUAACCCGGAGCGGCCAAGUGAUACUGUCGUGCUAGAGUGCGGAAGGGGCUACUGGAAUUCUCGGUGUAGCGGUGAAAUGCGUAGAUAUCGAGAGGAACACCUGCGGCGAAGGCGGGUAGCUGGGCCGACACUGACGCUGAGGCGCGAAAGCCAGGGGAGCGAACGGG
RNAcentral lists this ribosomal RNA (253 nucleotides) under uncultured bacterium. Its description in RNAcentral is "partial 16S ribosomal RNA". It matches the Rfam family "Bacterial small subunit ribosomal RNA", at positions 524 to 776 of the family's 1533-position model. The record is from RNAcentral.